CGUCUUUCAGGGCCAUGGAGAGCCGCCCUUCGAAGGCAGAAGACGAAGAAGAGGGAAUCCUGACAUCUUGGCGUGAUGUCUGGGUGCAGCUUGGUGUGCGCCCGUUGCCUAGUUUUGCCUUUCUCCUCCAUAUUGGAAUUACUCCCUGAAUCUGUACAAGCAACGAGGAGAUGGAGAGACUGUUUCCAGUGAAAAUUCAGUUCCUCUGACUUAAGUCUUCCAGACACUUUAUUUAAUGGAGAGAUCUACAAGUAAGGAGCAAACAUUCCAGUUGCCUCACCUUUGGGCUCCUGUGUGUGUCAGCCAGAUAAGUGUACAAAUACAUGUACUAGCCUAAAAGCGAACUGGAUAUUCAGUAUCUCUGUUUCAUCUAAUGUUUUUUUUCUGUUUAGCAUAUUGGACUCAUCGGAUAAUCUGCAGAAUCGUCCAGCCCUUUGGAUAGACCAGUUUCUGGGUCAUUGGUUUAUUGACAGAAAAAUAGGUCAAGACCUGAGAACAUAUGUCACAGCUCACAUUAAAAUUCAAGUUAUCUGACUCUGUCCAGAUAGACUUAUCUUUCUCUUACUGAGUUUGUCUGAAAAAUUAUGUAGCAUCAUGCCCCUUAAUAAGACCAUUUCCUAUUUUAUUUUUUAUAAAGCUAAGGAGACAACUAAUGAAUUGCUGACAUCUGUAAUGAAUAAACAGACAGUUAUUCACAGAACACAUAGAAAUUUCUGUUCAACAGCAUUUCACUUUUUGUGUACUGGCAUUAGCUAAGCACUGACAACGUAUGCCUGACCAGAUGAGAACUGACGUCUGUCUUGAUCCUAAUCUAGCUGCUGUCUAGCCUGAGACAAUGAAAACAAUUUACCUCAUCAAUUCUUUAGCAUAAAAAUCCAUACAGGAGAAAAUGGGACUAGCCAGAUAACUUUAAAGUAGUAUAAUCCUAUUCUCUUACUCAGACAGUUUACAGAUUCACUUUGUAUAAUUUGAUAUAGAGUUGAUGAAAACUAUUUGCACAUUCUUAAGUCCUGUUUGUCAUCUUUGAGGUUUAUUCUUUCUGCAAGUAACAAUAUUAUUUCUAUGACUUUUGCAUUUGAGAGCUAAAUUUUGUCUGAGGCAAUCAGCUACGAUUUUCUAGAACUUGAUUAUUAUGAGAUUUAAGGAGUCACUAUAUUUUCUUCUUUGUAACUAAAUUUGUUGUACCGACAUACACACUGCUGCACUGUAUCUACUCACGCAAUUUAUAGUGCAGGUUUAUUUCCUAAAAUAUGCUAUGAAUAUUAUAGGUCUUGCACUGAAGGCAAAUAACAAAGCAUCAUGGAAAAAGCAUGCGAAAUGCAAAAGAAAUAGGAUAAUGAUAGGUGUGUUCUAUAGAAAAUUCAAGGUUUUUUUCCAUUUAUUAUAUCUACUGUGAACAUUUUAUUAAAAUAUAUGUAUAUAUAAGAUUAAUAGAUUACUGUUUGUAUUUUACUUAACUCACUGGUACUCAAUGUAAGAAAGAUAACUAGACAAGAAAAGGGAUUACUUGGAAAAUAUGGAAACUAAGCAGGACAGAUGAUUAAAAAAAAAAAAAAAAAAAAAAAAUAAUAAAAAAAAAAGGAUGAGGAAUAAGAAGCACAGAGAAUACUGUUGGGAGGUCAGCAAUUAAUGAAGGGCUGGAAAUUAAAAAGGCAUGUUCACAUACAAGGUUUCAAAGUCUCCAGCUCUGCAGGAAGAUUUAAUAGUCCUCCUGGAUAAUUCUUUUUUGAAUCUAAUAGGUAGGUUCAAAAAAGGCAACAUAAAUUUUGCUGCUUGGCCUACUAAAGGCUACUUUGUCAGAGCUUUUCAGCUGUUGCACUGUUUUCAGACUGUGCAGGUUCUCCACCCUUGCCCUGAGUAACUUUGUGUCUUCCAUUAGAUAAAUAAGUUUCACUGAUAUAUUAGCAUCUUGCCAUAAUUACUGUAUCUAUGAUAGUGGGUUUGUACCUCUUCAACUCUGGCCUUAGUCUGUUUCAAAAAAAAGUAACUGAAUCACUUAUAUGGUUGUCAUUAAUCUGAAUUCAGUUCUAAAUAAUUUUGUAAUGUAAUAAUUUAUUGUCUAAUGUGAGGAACAAUUGCACAUGUUCCUUUUCUUGCAUGCUUGUCAUGAAUACAUUUGUAAACUGCAACAUGAAGUACGAUCUGAAUUAGAAUAUUGAUUUUGAUGGUAUUAAUAAAUACAGUUGACACUGGCAACAGGAUUUAUUUAACAUUUCACAUUCCCAUAUGGCUGUAGUUUUUAUAACUGUUUAAAUUGUUCAAUAGUUUUCUGUUUGUUUAACUGCUUGUUUGUAGUGGGUUUAGGGAGAAUAUUUUUAAUGUUACAUUUUUACAUUAUUUUUAUUAUAGAGACCUCUGGUGGUCUUUGAGUAUAUUUACAAAUUAUAUAUAUAUAUAUAUAAAUGAUGAAGGCAUGAAAUAUAUAUAUACGCAAAUAUAUAUACAUACACAUACAAAUUUUAUAUAUAUUAUAUAUAAAAAUUAUAUAUAAAAAAUAUAUAUUAUUCCUGUCUUCAUCAUUUAUAGUGCAAUCAUAAAAAAAGUUUAAAGACACUUUGAAGUGAUUUAUGCAUCAUUAACAGUUGUUGCACUUCAGUUGAGUGGUUUUCACACCUGAAUUUCAGUUUUGCUUAAUUCAUUGUUUUUCUGCAUGUUGCAACAGCAAUUUGAUAUAGUAUAUAGUUUGCACUUCCAGAGCUACAGCAAGCUGUCUUUUAAGCAAGAUUACAAGAUACAACUUUAUUGUACUUUAGUUUUCACUCUCUGCUGUCUGCCAGAAAACUUGCCUAUCACCCUGGCUAUACAAAUAAAACAGGUUUGUGGUGUUUUGGAGAUGCACAGUAAAAGAAAAGGAAGUUAUUUAAUACAGCUUUCUCCCCAGCUUGGUCACACCUUUUUCUAGAUCUAGGGGGAAAGAACAAAAAAAAAAAAAA
Molecule: non-coding RNA, 2933 nt
Organism: Coturnix japonica (Japanese quail)
Lineage: Eukaryota; Metazoa; Chordata; Aves; Galliformes; Phasianidae
Source: RefSeq, a predicted model, not a curated record